Molecule: ribosomal RNA, 496 nt
Filed under: uncultured bacterium
Lineage: Bacteria
Description: partial 16S ribosomal RNA
Rfam family: Bacterial small subunit ribosomal RNA
Source: RNAcentral
GAUGAACGCUGGCGGCGUGCCUAAUACAUGCAAGUCGAGCGAACAGACGAGGAGCUUGCUCCUCUGACGUUAGCGGCGGACGGGUGAGUAACACGUGGAUAACCUGCCUAUAAGACUGGGAUAACUUCGGGAAACCGGAGCUAAUACCGGAUAAUAUAUUGAACCGCAUGGUUCAAUAGUGAAAGACGGUUUUGCUGUCACUUAUAGAUGGAUCCGCGCCGCAUUAGCUAGUUGGUAAGGUAACGGCUUACCAAGGCAACGAUGCGUAGCCGACCUGAGAGGGUGAUCGGCCACACUGGAACUGAGACACGGUCCAGACUCCUACGGGAGGCAGCAGUAGGGAAUCUUCCGCAAUGGGCGAAAGCCUGACGGAGCAACGCCGCGUGAGUGAUGAAGGUCUUCGGAUCGUAAAACUCUGUUAUUAGGGAAGAACAAAUGUGUAAGUAACUAUGCACGUCUUGACGGUACCUAAUCAGAAAGCCACGGCUAACUACGU